This 76-nucleotide transfer RNA is filed under the name Candidatus Peregrinibacteria bacterium CG10_big_fil_rev_8_21_14_0_10_49_10. RNAcentral's name for it is "tRNA-Thr". It matches the Rfam family "tRNA". Rfam says of the family: Transfer RNA (tRNA) molecules are approximately 80 nucleotides in length. Their secondary structure includes four short double-helical elements and three loops (D, anti-codon, and T loops). Lineage: Bacteria; Candidatus Peregrinibacteriota. The record is from RNAcentral.
GCCACCUUAGCUCAGAUGGUAGAGCGACGCACUCGUAACGCGUAGGUCGCGGGUUCGAUUCCCGCAGGUGGCUCCA